Molecule: ribosomal RNA, 253 nt
Filed under: uncultured bacterium
Lineage: Bacteria
Description: partial 16S ribosomal RNA
Rfam family: Bacterial small subunit ribosomal RNA
Source: RNAcentral
UACGGAGGAUCCGAGCGUUAUCCGGAUUUAUUGGGUUUAAAGGGAGCGUAGGCGGGUUGUUAAGUCAGUUGUGAAAGUUUGCGGCUCAACCGUAAAAUUGCAGUUGAUACUGGCAUCCUUGAGUACAGUAGAGGUAGGCGGAAUUCGUGGUGUAGCGGUGAAAUGCUUAGAUAUCACGAAGAACUCCGAUUGCGAAGGCAGCCUGCUGAACUGUAACUGACGCUGAUGCUCGAAAGUGUGGGUAUCAAACAGG